UCGGGAAUUUUGGGCAAUGGGCGAAAGCCUGACCCAGCAACGCCGCGUGAGGGAUGAAGGCCCUCGGGUCGUAAACCUCUGUCGGGAGGGAAGAACGAUCGCAAGGUGAAUAAUCUUGGGGUCUGACGGUACCUCCAAAGGAAGCGCCGGCUAACUCCGUGCCAGCAGCCGCGGUAAUACGGAGGGCGCAAGCGUUGUUCGGGAUCAUUGGGCGUAAAGCGCGUGUAGGCGGCUUGGCAAGUCGGGUGUGAAAUCCCGGGGCUCAACCCCGGAACUGCAUUCGAUACUGCCUCGCUAGAGUCCCGGAGAGGAGGGCGGAAUUCCCGGUGUAGAGGUGAAAUUCGUAGAUAUCGGGAGGAACACCAGUGGCGAAGGCGGCCCUCUGGACGGUGACUGACGCUGAGAUGCGAAAGCGUGGGGAGCAAACAGGAUUAGAUACCCUGGUAGUCCACGCUGUAAACGUUGGGUGCUAGGUGUCGCGGGUAUUGACCCUGCGGUGCCGACGCUAACGCAUUUACG
Molecule: ribosomal RNA, 519 nt
Filed under: uncultured Pseudomonadota bacterium
Lineage: Bacteria; Pseudomonadati; Pseudomonadota
Description: bacterial SSU rRNA
Rfam family: Bacterial small subunit ribosomal RNA
Source: RNAcentral